RNAcentral lists this ribosomal RNA (506 nucleotides) under uncultured bacterium. RNAcentral's name for it is "partial 16S ribosomal RNA". It matches the Rfam family "Bacterial small subunit ribosomal RNA", at positions 28 to 507 of the family's 1533-position model. The record is from RNAcentral.
GACGAACGCUGGCGGCGUGCUUAACACAUGCAAGUCGAACGGUGAAGGGACUGGUUUUGCUGGUCCUGGAUGAGUGGCGAACGGGUGAGUAACACGUGAGUAACCUGCCCCCUUCUUCUGGAUAACCGCAUGAAAGUGUGGCUAAUACGGGAUAUUCUGGGUCUGUCGCAUGGUGGGCCUGGGAAAGAUUGCGCCUUUUUUGGUGUUUUUGGUGGGGGAUGGGCUCGCGGCCUAUCAGCUUGUUGGUGGGGUGAUGGCCUACCAAGGCGGUGACGGGUAGCCGGCCUGAGAGGGUGGACGGUCACACUGAGACUGAGACACGGCCGAGACUCCUACGGGAGGCAGCAGUGGGAAAUAUUGCACAAUGGGCGAAAGCCUGAUGCAGCGACGCCGCGUGAGAGAUGGAGGCCUUCGGGUUGUGAACCUCUUUCGCCAGUGAAGCAGGCCUGCCUCUUUUUGUGGGUGGGUUGACGGUAGCUGGAUAAGAAGCGCCGGCUAACUACGUG